RNAcentral lists this ribosomal RNA (465 nucleotides) under Vreelandella stevensii. RNAcentral describes it as "partial 16S ribosomal RNA". It matches the Rfam family "Bacterial small subunit ribosomal RNA", at positions 338 to 795 of the family's 1533-position model. The record is from RNAcentral. Lineage: Bacteria; Pseudomonadati; Pseudomonadota; Gammaproteobacteria; Oceanospirillales; Halomonadaceae.
CCUACGGGAGGCUGCAGUGGGGAAUAUUGGACAAUGGGGGGAACCCUGAUCCAGCCAUGCCGCGUGUGUGAAGAAGGCCCUCGGGUUGUAAAGCACUUUCAGUGAGGAAGAACGCCUGGUGGUUAAUACCCAUCAGGAAAGACAUCACUCACAGAAGAAGCACCGGCUAACUCCGUGCCAGCAGCCGCGGUAAUACGGAGGGUGCGAGCGUUAAUCGGAAUUACUGGGCGUAAAGCGCGCGUAGGUGGCUUGAUAAGCCGGUUGUGAAAGCCCCGGGCUCAACCUGGGAACGGCAUCCGGAACUGUCAAGCUAGAGUGCAGGAGAGGAAGGUAGAAUUCCCGGUGGAGCGGUGAAAUGCGUAGAGAUCGGGAGGAAUACCAGUGGCGAAGGCGGCCUUCUGGACUGACACUGACACUGAGGUGCGAAAGCGUGGGUAGCAAACAGGAUUAGAUACCCGGGUAGUC